UUAACUGAAUCCAUAGGUUAAUGAGGCGAACCGGGGGAACUGAAACAUCUAAGUACCCCGAGGAAAAGAAAUCAACCGAGAUUCCCCCAGUAGCGGCGAGCGAACGGGGAGGAGCCCAGAGCCUGAAUCAGUGUGUGUGUUAGUGGAAGCGUCUGGAAAGGCGCGCGAUACAGGGUGACAGCCCCGUACACAAAAAUGCACAUGCUGUGAGCUCGAUGAGUAGGGCGGGACACGUGGUAUCCUGUCUGAAUAUGGGGGGACCAUCCUCCAAGGCUAAAUACUCCUGACUGACCGAUAGUGAACCAGUACCGUGAGGGAAAGGCGAAAAGAACCCCGGCGAGGGGAGUGAAAAAGAACCUGAAACCGUGUACGUACAAGCAGUGGGAGCACGCUUAGGCGUGUGACUGCGUACCUUUUGUAUAAUGGGUCAGCGACUUAUAUUCUGUAGCAAGGUUAACCGAAUAGGGGAGCCGAAGGGAAACCGAGUCUUAACUGGGCGUUAAGUUGCAGGGUAUAGACCCGAAACCCGGUGAUCUAGCCAUGGGCAGGUUGAAGGUUGGGUAACACUAACUGGAGGACCGAACCGACUAAUGUUGAAAAAUUAGCGGAUGACUUGUGGCUGGGGGUGAAAGGCCAAUCAAACCGGGAGAUAGCUGGUUCUCCCCGAAAGCUAUUUAGGUAGCGCCUCGUGAAUUCAUCUCCGGGGGUAGAGCACUGUUUCGGCAAGGGGGUCAUCCCGACUUACCAACCCGAUGCAAACUGCGAAUACCGGAGAAUGUUAUCACGGGAGACACACGGCGGGUGCUAACGUCCGUCGUGAAGAGGGAAACAACCCAGACCGCCAGCUAAGGUCCCAAAGUCAUGGUUAAGUGGGAAACGAUGUGGGAAGGCCCAGACAGCCAGGAUGUUGGCUUAGAAGCAGCCAUCAUUUAAAGAAAGCGUAAUAGCUCACUGGUCGAGUCGGCCUGCGCGGAAGAUGUAACGGGGCUAAACCAUGCAC
RNAcentral lists this ribosomal RNA (1000 nucleotides) under Escherichia coli. RNAcentral's name for it is "partial 23S ribosomal RNA". It matches the Rfam family "Bacterial large subunit ribosomal RNA", at positions 154 to 1194 of the family's 2925-position model. Lineage: Bacteria; Pseudomonadati; Pseudomonadota; Gammaproteobacteria; Enterobacterales; Enterobacteriaceae. The record is from RNAcentral.